Molecule: unclassified non-coding RNA, 210 nt
Filed under: soil metagenome
Description: partial contains 5.8S ribosomal RNA, internal transcribed spacer 2, and large subunit ribosomal RNA
Source: RNAcentral
AACGGUCUAUACCUGCGGUACCUGCGGAAGGAUCAUUACAUGAUUUGAGGGGGCUCACGUCCCCUCAUCCAACCCACAAACCCCGAGGAACUUUUAUGUCGAGUGGUUCGGCGCUCUCUUUGAGAGCCGCCCCUCAAACGCAUCGCAGGCUUUUCGUGAAGGUCUGAUGUGUCACAUCGUGAGUAUUAAAACUUUCAGCAAUGGAUCUCU